This 87-nucleotide transfer RNA is filed under the name Clostridiales bacterium. Its description in RNAcentral is "tRNA-Tyr". It matches the Rfam family "tRNA". Rfam says of the family: Transfer RNA (tRNA) molecules are approximately 80 nucleotides in length. Their secondary structure includes four short double-helical elements and three loops (D, anti-codon, and T loops). Lineage: Bacteria; Bacillati; Bacillota; Clostridia; Eubacteriales. The record is from RNAcentral.
GGGCGAGUAGUCCGUAACAGGUAGCGGGCCAGACUGUAAAUCUGGUGUCUUUCGGCUCAGGGGGUUCGAGUCCCUCGUCGCCUACCA